Non-coding RNA from Castor canadensis (American beaver), 2438 nucleotides. NCBI's taxonomy places the organism in Eukaryota, Metazoa, Chordata, Mammalia, Rodentia, Castoridae. The record is from RefSeq and is a predicted model, not a curated record.
UGGUGAGAGAAGGGGUGGGACCGCCGGACUUCUGGACUUUGGGCAGGGCAGAUCCUUCUGAAUUCCUAGCUGCUACCGAGAGUUUCUUCCGGCCUUGGGCCUGAGUGUGCAGCCAAGGGCUCUGCUGUGUACACAGCCCAGGUGAGGUCCCCCUGGCCAGGAUGUCAGGCCUGGUGUUGGGGCAGCGGGAUGAGCCUGCAGGGCAUCGGCUCAGCCAAGAGGAGAUCCUGGGGAGCACCAGGCUGGUGAGCCAAGGGCUGGAGGCCCUGCACAGUGAGCACCAGGCUGUGCUACAAAGCCUGUCCCAAACCAUUGAGUGUCUGCAGCAAGGAGGCCAUGAGGAAGGACUGGUACAUGAGAAGGCUCGGCAGCUGCGCCGUUCUAUGGAAAACAUCGAACUGGGGCUGAGUGAGGCCCAGGUGAUGCUGGCUCUUGCCAGCCACCUGAGCACAGUGGAGUCAGAAAAACAGAAGCUGCGGGCUCAGGUGCGGCGGCUGUGUCAGGAGAACCAGUGGCUCCGGGAUGAGCUUGCAGGCACUCAGCAGCGGCUACAGCGCAGUGAACAGGCCGUGGCUCAGCUGGAAGAGGAAAAGAAGCACCUGGAGUUCCUGGGGCAACUGCGACAGUAUGACGAGGAUGGGCAUACCUCGGAGGAGAAGGAAGGAAAUGCUACCAAGGAUUCGCUGGAUGACCUCUUUCCCAAUGAGGAGGAAGAAGAUUCCAGCAAUGGCUUGUCCCGUGGCCAGGGCUCUGCAGCAGCUCAGCAGGGUGGAUAUGAGAUUCCGGCAAGGUUGCGGACCCUUCACAACCUGGUGAUCCAGUAUGCAGCUCAGGGUCGCUAUGAAGUGGCUGUGCCACUCUGCAAGCAGGCACUAGAGGACCUGGAACGCACCUCUGGCCGUGGCCACCCUGAUGUUGCUACUAUGCUCAACAUCCUUGCUUUGGUGUAUCGGGACCAGAAUAAGUACAAGGAAGCUGCUCACCUGCUGAAUGAUGCCCUCAGUAUCCGGGAAAGCACUCUGGGCCGGGACCACCCAGCUGUGGCUGCCACACUCAACAAUCUGGCUGUGCUGUAUGGUAAAAGGGGCAAAUAUAAAGAGGCAGAGCCACUGUGUCAGCGGGCACUGGAGAUUCGAGAAAAGGUCCUGGGAACCGAUCACCCAGAUGUGGCAAAGCAGCUGAACAACUUGGCCCUAUUAUGCCAAAACCAGGGCAAGUAUGAGGCUGUGGAACGCUAUUACCAGCGGGCACUGGCCAUCUAUGAGGGGCAGCUUGGGCCGGACAACCCUAAUGUAGCUCGGACCAAGAACAACCUGGCUUCCUGUUACCUGAAACAGGGCAAAUAUGCUGAGGCAGAGACCCUGUACAAAGAGAUCCUGACCCGUGCUCAUGUGCAGGAGUUUGGCUCUGUGGAUGAUGACCACAAGCCCAUCUGGAUGCAUGCAGAGGAGCGGGAAGAGAUGAGCAAAAGCCAGCACCAUGAGGGCGGCACACCCUAUGCUGAGUAUGGAGGCUGGUACAAGGCCUGCAAAGUGAGCAGCCCCACAGUGAACACUACUCUGAGAAAUCUCGGAGCUCUGUACAGGCGCCAGGGAAAGCUAGAGGCAGCUGAAACCUUGGAGGAAUGUGCUCUGCGUUCCAGGAAACAGGGCACCGACCUAUCAGCCAGACCAAGGUGGCAGAGCUGCUUGGGGAGGGUGAUGGUAGAAGGACCUCCCAGGAGGGCCCUGGGGACAGUGUAAAAUUCGAGGGAGGUGAAGAUGCUUCUGUGGCUGUGGAGUGGUCAGGGGAUGGCAGUGGGACUCUGCAGAGGAGUGGCUCUCUGGGCAAGAUCCGGGAUGUGCUUCGUCGAAGCAGUGAACUCCUGGUGAGGAAGCUCCAGGGGACUGAGCCUCGGCCUUCCAGCAGCAACAUGAAGCGAGCAGCCUCCUUGAACUACCUGAACCAACCCAGUGCUGCACCCCUCCAGGGCUCCCGGGGCCUCAGUGCCAGCACCAUGGAUCUCUCUUCAAGCAGCUGACAUUCAACCCACCCUUCAGGCCUGCUGGUCCACCACAGGCCUCUCAGCAUUCCCUGUUGCUCCUGACUUUUUCCCAUUCCAAGGUGGGACAGUGAAGGGGAAGCAGUGUUUCCGAAGAUUGAAGAUUGCUGCUGCCUGUAGGGUCUCAGCUCCCUCCUCAGGAACUCCCCUUAGGAAGGACCCUCAGGAUACACUUUCCCCACUCUGGGGUCCUCUAGAGUAGCUGGCUCUGAGGCCCUCUGGGUGGGUAAUAAACAGGUAUGCAUCUCAGAGAUGCAGCCUGCACAGCUUUUCUGUCAGAGGGUUUGGGGCUGGCCAGCCAAGCUAUCUUGUCCUGGCCUCUCAUUUCCUCUCCUCUGCUGCCUCACUUCAGGUCCACAUAUUUCACAUUUCUUAAAUAAAAGAAUCAGGUAACCUU